UCAAGCGUAGACAAUCAAACUAAAUGAGAUUGCUUAACUCAAGCACGUGCUUUGUGCAUUUAUCAUCUCAUCGUUGGCCUCAACAAGUUGCACCAUGCAAACUAGACUAGAAAACAUGCAGUGGUUAAUACACAGAUGGUGUCUGAGUUCCCAAACUUUAUUCAGCCAAGGCACAUAUUUUACCCACAAAAUGUUUUUAAAAGUAUUUUACUCAAUAAUUGUUCUGCCUGUCACUAUACGUCAUCGGCAAAGAUAGAUGAGAAUUUGUAUUAUGUCAAUUUAAAUUGGCAAACCUCAUGAUGUCACAUGACUCGCAUGACAAAAAAAAAAAAAAGGUUUUGGAAUUAGUGGGUUAGCGUAGCCGUACUGAAAGUUCUCUAUCUUGUUCAAACAGGCCAGAGUUGGUGUGUGUUUCCCAACACAUACACUUUAAAGAAUGCUGCAGGCUUGCGCACACACACAAAGUACUGUAAAAUUAUUUAGGACUGUUAAAUUAGAGCAGGUUUUACAGAAUUGAUUAAAAAAAAAUACAUGAAUGGUGAUAAAAUAUAUUAUUGUUAUUAGUCAUGUGAUAAGCAGUUCUUGGAUUCAUUUCCUAAAACCGGUCAGUUGUUCGUAUACAUAUAUUAAGUAAAAUAAAAUAGUCAAUUUUGCUUGAAAAUUAUUACAGGUAUUUCUUUCUUUAAAGUGAGCCUUGUGUUUGUGUUGUCUGCACGUUUUCCAAUUCUUCAGGUCAGUAUAAGAGACACAAACACUCAACCAGGUGUUGCUGGUGCCACAUGGGAAGAUCCGUGCUCCUCAAAGUUGGAAUGGAAUUAUUAGACAUCAUUCCUUUAUUGGCUAUAUCAGUUCAUGACCCCCUCUACUGAGAAUCUUCAUGACCUUUAAGCCCCCCCACCCCCUCCCACUAAGGAUUACCGAUUGGAAAGGAGAGUAAAAAUAGCUGGUUGUUGCAAGUCUAUCAGCACGUUUGGCUCGCCGGCGGUGCAAAGCUCGGGUUUCCAGAGAUUUCAAAUGCAACGGCUGAUUUGUCCCUCUGGAUAGUCACAAACCAAAAAAAUUCAAUUGACGCCAUUUUCUUUGCCCUACGAGCUGACUGACAGGCAGGAAUGAUAAUAACAAUUCUCAAAUCUCUUCCUCCCCCCUUGCACACUUUCAACACUCUACUCGUCCUUUUUUUUUGUUAUCGAAAGACAUUUUUAAGACCUGUCGGGUUAAAAUGAGCGAGUAGUUUGUGUGCGUGUGAUGUCAUCUUUGUGUGGUUAUUUAUAUUUGUAUAUCAUGUCCGCUAAAUAUCUUAAAUGAUCAUUAGAAACUGCCGACUGCCAAAUUGUGUGUGUGUGUGUGUGUGAGACAGAUGGAGCUGUUGGAAUGUGCUGAUGUUCCACAUUGGAGCUAAACUCUCAAUGUGUGUGUUUUAUUUUGCUCCCUUCCCCUCAGCGGUCAAACAUCCAUCCUGUCACUUUGUGUUAGCUCUCCAUCGUUGAGCGUCCACGAUGAGCCCCAUUUUUUUUUUUUUUUGCAGAAUAGGGGCAAGACAAAGUUGAAAUCGUUUUGGAUGAACCGAUACUAGUCACUGAUACCACGUGGACUUUAUUUUUGAGGACUUUUAUUAAAUAGACGAUCUGCCAAAUGUGUGUCGGAGUAAAAGUGGGAACUAUUGACUUUUUCUGCCUCACAUUCCCGUGUGAAAAUGAAAGCGAGAA
Long non-coding RNA from Syngnathus acus (greater pipefish), 1706 nucleotides. RefSeq lists it as uncharacterized. NCBI's taxonomy places the organism in Eukaryota, Metazoa, Chordata, Actinopteri, Syngnathiformes, Syngnathidae. The transcript is spliced from 2 exons. The record is from RefSeq and is a predicted model, not a curated record.